UUUUAUUUUUCUUUUCCUUUUGGAAUAAAGAAACUUCGGUGACGACUCUGUUAUUAUUUCGAACGUGUGAACGCUCAUGGUAUUUUUCACGCCGCGACACUACACCUUUGACUAGCUACUUCGACAUAACCUAUUGCUAGCUCUCGAAGAACAUCGAAUUAUAACUUCUAAUAAUUUUUUAUAAAAUAAAUAAUGACCCAACAAAUUGAUUUUAACAAUGAACCCAAAAAAUAAAUAUUAAAAAAACC
RNAcentral lists this long non-coding RNA (248 nucleotides) under Lathyrus oleraceus (garden pea). RNAcentral's name for it is "Pisum sativum (pea) long non-coding RNA (PSAT_LNC032692)". Lineage: Eukaryota; Viridiplantae; Streptophyta; Magnoliopsida; Fabales; Fabaceae. The record is from RNAcentral.